Molecule: long non-coding RNA, 435 nt
Filed under: Mytilus galloprovincialis (Mediterranean mussel)
Lineage: Eukaryota; Metazoa; Mollusca; Bivalvia; Mytilida; Mytilidae
Source: RNAcentral
CUGGAAUGGAGUAUUUUUUAAUCAACAGCAUUGUCCUAUAUAAGUUAUAAAUAAAGUUGAAUUCUUUGCUUCGCUGUUUUACGUCAUGCCCACUAACAAAUUGAAAACUGUACCUAUACGCCUUAUUUUUAGUCCAGAUUUUUAGUAUUCGUAUUGUUAUCUUAGAAAGUCUUACUGAUUAAAAUACUACAAUAGGUAACAAUUUGACAAUUUAGUAGUGUCAACCCUGUGGUUAUGACCCGUGUAUAUAGCAUAUUAAUCCUGAAUACAACGGUUGGUGGUGCGCCUGUCAGAUGCGGAACGUACAGAUAAGGUAAUAGGUAACAGGUGAAUAUACUAUUGGUAUCGGAAGCGGACUCGACCCGGAACUUCUUAAUUAUUGGCAAUAUUAAUUACGUGGAAAACAAAAGGGCCUGGAGUGGUGUAAUUUUUAAU